This 446-nucleotide ribosomal RNA is filed under the name uncultured bacterium. RNAcentral's name for it is "partial 16S ribosomal RNA". It matches the Rfam family "Bacterial small subunit ribosomal RNA", at positions 338 to 795 of the family's 1533-position model. The record is from RNAcentral.
CCUACGGGUGACAGCAGUCGAGAAUCAUUCACAAUGGUGGAAACCCUGAUGGUGCGACGCCGCGUGGGGGAAUGAAGUUCUUCGGAUUGUAAACCUCUGUCAUGUGGGAGCAAAUUAAAAAGAUAGUACCACAAGAGGAAGAGACGGCUAACUCUGUUCCAGUAGCCCCGGUAAUACAGAGGUCUCAAGCGUUGUUCGGAAUCACUGGGCGUAAAGCGUGCGUAGGCUGUUUCGUAAGUCGUGUGUGAAAGGCGCGGGCUCAACCCGCGGACGGCACAUGAUACUGCGAGACUAGAGUAGUGGAGGGGGAACCGGAAGUCGCGGUGUAGCAGUGAAAUGCGUAGAUAUCGAGAAGAACACUCGUGGCGAAGGCAGGUUCCUGGACAUUAACUGACGCUGAGGCACGAAGGCCAGGGGAGCGAAAGGGAUUAGAUACCCGAGUAGUC